Pan troglodytes (chimpanzee) is the source of this 3525-nucleotide long non-coding RNA. RefSeq lists it as uncharacterized. NCBI's taxonomy places the organism in Eukaryota, Metazoa, Chordata, Mammalia, Primates, Hominidae. The record is from RefSeq and is a predicted model, not a curated record. The transcript is spliced from 3 exons.
CACAGACACACACGUGCACUCACACAUAUGAGCACACGUGGACACCUCUACACCCUCCCAGACGCCCCCACACCAUCCUGAAGCACAGGCACAUGAAGGUACACCCCCACACGCCUGUGUGAACCCACACACUCCUCCCGUACCCACACACCAUGGGCACACCCCUCCUCCCAGCAGCAGCUCUGGACCUGCCUGUGCCCACCCCCGCCGUCGUCCCCCGUAAAUGUGCAGCCAUCCCGCGUCCCCGCGCUGCCGCAGCCCCUCACUCGGGGCCCUCAAAGAGCACGCUUAUAAAAACAUUCUUCCCGUGAUGGAGUGCUUCCUUUGGGCUUCUUCGGCUGGUAACAGAUUAAAGGCGAACAGGCAUUUGUCAUGGGGAAGUGUACCCAGUUGUGCUGGAAAAUGGACUUUUCGAUGAGCGUGAGAGCUUGAACCUGUCACAGAGGGGAGAGCCUGUGUUAUUGCAGCCUGCCGGGCCGCGGUGGCCGCUGCGGCUUAUCGGCUGUGGCAGGCAUCACCUACGACUGAAAGGAUCCCAUUACGGAGGCCCUGAAGAGACUGAAUGGGAGAGUGUGACUGCUCCCUGCAAACCCUCCCCAUGUCUGGACUGAGGAAAUAGCUCGAAGCACCAUCCAUCUCCUGGUGGAGCAGCAGCAGCGUCCAGACCAUCCUGAGAAGAAGGAAUCAUCAUCUACAUUCUACAGAGAAGGACACUGAGGCACAGAGACGGCAGUAGCAGAAGGAGCAAGCUGGGACGGGAAUGCUGCUCUUCAGACAAGGAGUCCGAGUGCUGCCUCAUCGGGCUGUGGAUUGGCCUUGGGGGCUGCUGGGCCAGGCUUUAUGCUCCUGCCUGCUAUAGCCUCAAGGAGAGGAGGCACCUCCAGGUGGUCAGAGUGGGGUCUCCCUUGGCUGCAAGAAGGACAGCUCUGUAGGGGUGGGGGUCCUGGAACUGAGAGACUGUGCAGCAAGGGGGGCUCAUGGAGCUCAUGGGAGCUGCCUCCCUGCAGAUCAGUUCUGCACUCUUGUGGGCGCUACAGAGUGGGCAAGGGUGGGGAGAGUGCAGAGAGGGAAGAGCACUGGAUUAGUCUUGGGUCCUGGGCAGGAAUCCAACCUCCAUUCAUUCAACAAACAUUUUUUGAAUGCCUUGGUAUCAUCCUUCUCAAUCCUUUAACAACAGCUUUGUGAAGCAGACACCCUUUCUGUAUUUCAUUAAUUAUAUGAUGUACUCUUAGAAAUGGUCAACAUCUUACUAUUGAUGGGGUUAUAACUGAUAGCAUUUUUCUUUCUUAGUGGUCUAUACAAUAGACCACAUGGUUUUAAAGCCGGUGGACAGUUCCGUGAAAUAUAGAACUAGCCCAAUUUAAAAAAAUGGAAAUAAUAAUCAUGAUAACAGUAUUAGUAGAUAAUAUUUGUUAACUGUUGACCAUAUGCCAGGCACUAGAUUCAGAAUUUUGUCACUAUUUUGAUUGUUAUUCCCAUUUUGCAGAUAGAAGACCGAGACUAGUCUAUAAUUAUACCACCCUGCACGUACCUGAUCUUGCCUGAUCUUGGAAGCUAAGAGUUAGGGUCAGGACUGGUUAGUACUUGGAUGGGAGAAAACUGAGGCUGAAGAGGUUUCUCAAGGUCACACAGCACAAAUGGUGGAGCAGGGGUUGGAACCCAGUCUGGCUGACUCCAGCUCCUUGGGUUCUGGACCCCUGGAGGAUGCCACCUUCCUGCUGCUCUGGGUUAGGCCUGUGCUGGGUCCUGGGGAAAGAGCCAUGAGCCAGGCACAGGAGGUCCUGUCCUACUCAGACCUGCAGCAAAGUGUUGUGGGUGGGGUGGCAAUGGGGCUAAGACCACUGGAGGCUCUGAGGAGCUGCUGAUAAGGAUGGGAGUAAGGAAGGUGGGUAGAGAGGGUGCCAGGAAAAGUCUGAGAAUGUGGAGGGAGGCUCUUUACAAACGACCUCCACAUUUUCCUCCCCUGUCUCUUUCUUUGCCACUGUUUCUUGUAUACCACCAUCUUCUCCAGGCAAGGAGGAAGGGCAGUGUGUCCACCCAAGGUGGACCCAGAAGUCAUGGGACUCUGUGUGCCUCCACUGGCUCUCACCAAGGACUGACCGAAGCCUCAAAAUCCAAUAAAGCCAAGCCCCUGAACAGGAGGGCUGUGGACAGGAGGCUAAGGUGCUGAUGGUGGAGUCUCACAGCCUGUGAUUGGGAGGCCAGUUGGCUUCUGUAGUGUUGGGCUCCAGAGAGGGGGAGGGUGCUUGGUGGAUAGAAACAUGGGCUUUGGAGUCAGAUGAACUUUGGUUGUAAUGUGGGCUCCUCCACUUACUUGCUGUGUGGUCCAGGCAAGCUUAGUAAAUUCACUGAGCUUUGAUUUCCUCAUCCACAAACUGAGAAUAAUAAUUGUUUUAGUUACCUAUUGCUGAGUAACAAAUAUCCCCAAAAUUUAGUAGCUGAAAGCAAUACACAUUGAUUAUCUCACAGUUUCUGAGUCAGGAAUCUGGGCACAGCUUGGGUGGGUCCUCUACUCAGCUGUCUCACAGGACUGCAGUCAAGGUGUCACUGGGGCUGUAGUCUUAUCUGAAGGCUCCACUGGAGAAGGAUCUGCUUCCAAACUCAUGCACGUGUUAUUGGCAGGAUUCAGUUCCUCAAGGGCUGUUGGACUAAGUGUCUCAGUCUCCUGCCUGGAGGCUGACCUCAGUUCUUACCAAGUGGGCCUCUCCAGCUUGUUUCUUCAGAAUAAGUACAUGAAGAGCCAGAGGGACAGACAGAUAGACAGACUGGAAGACACACAAUACACACCUACAGAAAGAGAGAGAGAGAGAGAGAGGGAGAGAGAGAUAAGAGCAAACAAAACUGAAGUUACAGUCUUUUAUAACCUACUCUUGGAAGCGGCAUCCCAUCAAUUUUGUCAUAUUCUUUUCUUUAGAAGCAAGUCACUAGGUCUGGGAUCAUCAGGAGCCAGGUCAGAAUGCAAUAAUAUUUAUUUUGUGGGUAAGUCAUGGGGAUUAAAUGAGAUACUAGGUGUGAGUACCUAGCAUGGUGCCUAAGCUAAGUUGGGCUAUAUGCUGAACAAAUGGACUAUUAUUAUUGCUGAUGUUGUUGUUAUUCUCAAAGCGAGGCUGGCCUGGGGCUGAGAUAGGACAGAAUCCAACAACUAGCCUCAGUUUCCAUUGGCCUGACAUCAUGAGAGUGUCACGGACUAUAACAACCCCACCCAACUCCAUCUCCAUCUAGUCAAAUCCUGCCUAUUUCCCUGGGUUCACUUGGUUGCCUUCUACUCUAGGAAGCUUUUCUCCAACUGGAUGAUGUGAGCUGUGUUUCUCUGAAUGACCCCCCCUUUGUUCACAGGGAAGGGAGCCACCACCCCAGGCUGGGCUAACUCGCAUGAGGACACCACUAACAUUGUCUGCGUUUCAUUUACGUUAGACAGGCAGGUCUACAAUGUUUGAAGUUUACAGAUUUCUUGGAUAUAGCAGUGAAAGCUUUGUAUUUUUUAUCUGUAAGGAAAAAUUGUGAAGUUUACAUCAUUGCAAAAUA